This is a long non-coding RNA of Felis catus (domestic cat), 676 nucleotides long. RefSeq lists it as uncharacterized. NCBI's taxonomy places the organism in Eukaryota, Metazoa, Chordata, Mammalia, Carnivora, Felidae. The transcript is spliced from 3 exons. The record is from RefSeq and is a predicted model, not a curated record.
AGAAACAUACACAGGAAGAACACCACGUGAAGACAAAGGAGAUUGGAGUGAAUCUCCUACAAGCCAAGGAACACCAAAGAUCGAUAGAAAACCACCAAAAGUCGGAGAGAGGCAUGCAACAGACCGUCCCCUCACAGCCCUCAGCAGGAACCAACCCUACUGAUACUUUGAUUUUGGACUUCCUGCCUCCAGGACUGUGAGACUUCUGUUGUUUAGGCCACCCGCUAUGGCAACACCCAAGACUAUGGGAAGGUUGGAAGACGUAGUUCCACAUCUGCUUCUGCUUAGGCCUCCCAGUGGUGGUCAGAGCAGGAAGAUAUCUCGGAGUGAUAGAGAGAAGCCACAAGCUCUGAGCAGCGACCAGGCCAGAAGCUGCCCCAGGGCAACCGCAUGUGAUUUCAGCAAGGGUCAGGCAGUAAGUUGGUACAGAGUGAGGAGAAGUCCGGAUCUCCCGUAUGGCCUGAUGUGAUGCUCGACCCACUAUAGAACUGGAGUCUCCCACCUGCUCAGCCCAGAUUGUUCUCGGUCCUCAAAUCACAUUUCUUUUCUUGUCCCUUCUGCAUACACCUCUCUGCUUCCCAGAAUAGGAAAGACUAGAACGGGUGUGCUGACCAAGAGAAGGAAAGACAGGGUGGAAAGGACAAGACAGAAAGUGUCCUGGAGAAGGUGAAGGGGA